RNAcentral lists this long non-coding RNA (662 nucleotides) under Gallus gallus (chicken). RNAcentral's name for it is "lncRNA (ENSGALG00010009745.1)". The record is from RNAcentral. Lineage: Eukaryota; Metazoa; Chordata; Aves; Galliformes; Phasianidae.
CUCAUCCCAUCCCAUCCAUCCCAAUGUUGUCCCCACCCAUCCCAUCAUCCCGCCCAUCCCAUCCAUCCCAAUGGUGACCCCACUGAUCCCAUCCCAUCCCAUCCCACCCCCCCACCCCACAGAUCCCACCCCUCCCCCCCAUGGCAGUGGUGCCCCCCAUUGCCAUCAGUGCCCCCCCGGUGUUCCCAGCAGCGCCGCCAUCCCCCCCUGCAGGCACCGCCCGCAGCCCUCCGGGGCUUUCAGUCGCUGCUCUGUGCGCCCCAUAGGGAGGGAGAGAAAUCACUGUGGCUCCGCCGGGUCACCAUGGAAACACUGGGGGUCACCAUGGGGUCACCAGGUGUCACCAUGGGAUCACCAGGAGUCACCAGGGGAUCACCAGGAGUCACCAUGGGAUCACCAGGAAUCACCAUGGGAUCACCAGGAUCUCACUAUGGGAUCACCAGGAGUCACCAUGGCAGCACUGGGAGUCACCAUGGCAGCACCAUAAGGUCACCAUGGGAUCACCAGGAUCUCAUUCACCAUGGGAUCACCAUCAUCUCACCAUGGGAUCACUAGGAUUCACCAUGGGAUCACCGGGAAUCACCAUGGCAGCACUGGGAGUCGCCAUGGGGUCACCAGGAGUCACCAUGGGAUCACCAGGAGUCACCAUGGGAUCACCAGGA